GGACAGUAAAAUGCUGACAGUUAUCACCCCCACUGAUUUCCAAGGUUGACUUGGCUGAUAUGGCUGGGUAGACAGAUGUCCCGCUCCACGUUUGUUCCUCCCAAAGCUGUAGACUUGGUCAAAACCAAUAACUUUCCCUAGUAAUAUUGUUCUACAGUCAAGGAUCUGAGAGAAUACAAGGAAGACUCUUCUGGGUAAGAGUCAGUAGAAAUGUAUCUGGUUUUUAAGGGAAUAGAAGAAAAAUUUACUAUCUUCAAAGUAAGAUAGUUCCUUUCACUCUUCUUGUCCCACCAACUUUCGGUUUACUAACUGGUAACCAAAUGGCU
This 326-nucleotide small nuclear RNA is filed under the name Chelonia mydas (Green sea turtle). RNAcentral describes it as "7SK RNA". The stretch from base 1 to 284 matches the Rfam family "7SK RNA". Rfam says of the family: 7SK was discovered as an abundant small nuclear RNA in the mid-70s but a possible function has only recently been suggested. Two independent studies have found that 7SK RNA binds the CDK9/cyclin T complex (known as elongation factor P-TEFb). The record is from Rfam by way of RNAcentral. Lineage: Eukaryota; Metazoa; Chordata; Testudines; Cheloniidae.